GAGUUUGAUCCUGGCUCAGAACGAACGCUGGCGGCAGGCUUAACACAUGCAAGUCGAACGCCCCGCAAGGGGAGUGGCAGACGGGUGAGUAACGCGUGGGAACGUGCCCAAAGGUACGGAACAACUCCGGGAAACUGGAGCUAAUACCGUAUGUGUCCGUAAGGAGAAAGAUUUAUCGCCUUUGGAUCGGCCCGCGUUGGAUUAGCUAGUUGGUGGGGUAAAAGCCUACCAAGGCGACGAUCCAUAGCUGUUCUGAGAGGAAGAUCAGCCACACUGGGACUGAGACACGGCCCAGACUCCUACGGGAGGCAGCAGUGGGGAAUCUUGGACAAUGGGCGCAAGCCUGAUCCAGCCAUGCCGCGUGAGUGAUGAAGGCCUUAGGGUUGUAAAACUCUUUCGCCGAGGACGAUAAUGACGGUACUCGGAGAAGAAGCUCCGGCUAACUUCGUGCCAGCCGCCGCCGUAAC
This 467-nucleotide ribosomal RNA is filed under the name uncultured Alphaproteobacteria bacterium. RNAcentral describes it as "bacterial SSU rRNA". It matches the Rfam family "Bacterial small subunit ribosomal RNA", at positions 9 to 524 of the family's 1533-position model. The record is from RNAcentral. Lineage: Bacteria; Pseudomonadati; Pseudomonadota; Alphaproteobacteria.